RNAcentral lists this ribosomal RNA (810 nucleotides) under uncultured bacterium. RNAcentral's name for it is "bacterial SSU rRNA". It matches the Rfam family "Bacterial small subunit ribosomal RNA", at positions 8 to 796 of the family's 1533-position model. The record is from RNAcentral.
AGAGUUUGAUCCUGGCUCAGAACGAACGCUGGCGGCGUGGAUAAGACAUGCAAGUCGAACGGGAACUUUUUUGGUAGCAAUACUAGAAAAGUUCUAGUGGCGAACGGGUGCGUAACACGUGGGCAAUCUACCGAGAAGUGGGGGAUAGCUCGCCGAAAGGCGAAUUAAUACCGCAUGUGAUCAGGGGAGACAUCUCUCCGAAAUCAAAGCCGGGGCAACCUGGCGCUUUUUGUGGGGCCCGCGGCCUAUCAGCUUGUUGGUGAGGUAACGGCUCACCAAGGCUAUGACGGGUAGCUGGUCUGAGAGGACGACCAGUCACACUGGAACUGAGACACGGUCCAGACACCUACGGGUGGCAGCAGUCGAGAAUUUUUCUCAAUGGGGGAAACCCUGAAGGAGCGACGCCGCGUGGAGGAUGAAGGUCUUCGGGUUGUAAACUCCUGUCAUUUGGGAACAAGUCGUACGUAGUAACUAUACGUGCGUUGAUAGUACCAGAAGAGGAAGGGACGGCUAACUCUGUGCCAGCAGCCGCGGUAAUACAGAGGUCUCAAGCGUUGUUCGGAUUCAUUGGGCGUAAAGGGUGUGUAGGUGGCGCCGUAAGUGGGGUGUGAAAUUUCGAGGCUUAACCUCGAAACUGCAUUCCAUACUGCGGUGCUUGAGGACUGGAGAGGAGACUGGAAUUUACGGUGUAGCAGUGAAAUGCGUAGAUAUCGUAAGGAAGACCAGUGGCGAAAGCGGGUCUCUGGACAGUUCCUGACACUGAGACACGAAAGCCAGGGGAGCAAACGGGAUUAGAUACCCCGGUAGUCC